Molecule: long non-coding RNA, 585 nt
Organism: Mesocricetus auratus (golden hamster)
Lineage: Eukaryota; Metazoa; Chordata; Mammalia; Rodentia; Cricetidae
Exons: 2
Source: RefSeq, a predicted model, not a curated record
CAAACUGAGCGCCCCACCCGCCCCUGACCUUCCCAGGCCCCUCCUCUGGGCCCGCCUCUUUCUGAGAUGGGACCCCUACGCACACCCAGGGGGACUGUCACCACACCGCACGAGUCCCAUUUGUGCCUCCCGAGGGCAAGUUCACCCAAGUGGUGACUUUUUAGGGACUCUCUUUCUCCCAGAGACCUCCAGUGGCUACCCGCCCCCUGUCCAGUCGCUCCGACGUGGCUACUUCGCGGGCUGGGCUGUAUAAAGAGCUGGAGGCAGCUUGGCGGGCGCAAAGCAGAGACGUGGCACUUCUACUAGGCCGGCCUAGGUUCCAGGGCCUGAUUGCAGCCAAAGAAUGGAGCAGGGAGGAGCUGAAGAGAGAAUGGCCUGGGAGACAUGAAGACAGCUGUGGACCACUGUUGACUUUCCCAAGAAGACUCACUAACUGUAGACUUUGAUAUGUAACAAGACUACUAGACUAUUUUUUUUAAGUCCUAGAAUCAUAGCCUCCUUACAUUUUAUGUUUUCCUGUACAUGAGUCAGGUAGAUGUUAUAGUCACCAUUUGACAAUUUUUCACACUAGUUUCAAAUUUCAAA